UGACCACCUGUUCCUGAUAAGACAGCUAAUAGAGACGGGUCUUUUAGGAUAGGAGGAAGUGGGCACCAACUGGCCAAAGUUGCCUGCAGUAUCUUGGCCAGAGGAGUCUGUAGAGAAGUUUCAGCAGCUCUCUCUGGCCACCCAGUUCCCAUUGCCUUCACUGCCAAACCACAGGAACAUACUGCAGGUCUCUCAAUGACCACUGAGGGGACGCACGAGUCUACAUUACCAACUGUACACAUGAAUCCCAGCCAAACACUAUUGUAUUAACAGCAACAAGUGAUGCAUAUUUGAACAAAAGAAUGAAUGUUUACUCCUACAAUAUAUAUGAUUUUAAAAAUAUUUUAAAGUCUUAUUUAUUGUUAGUUGCAAGGAGAAUAUUUGCUGCUUAAGAAUGCUAAAUUGAUAAGAUUGUUACUGACAGUUUAUAAACCUUUAAAUCACAUUUUGUGGGGACAUUUUAGCAGGGCUUUGCCAGUGUUCACUUAUACUGCCUCACAGUAGAACGGGAUAAAGAGCGUUCACUGUGCUAUUUAUUUGUUUUAAGUGUGUGUAAAUGUUUUUCUGUUUGUUUGUUGGUGAGUAUGUCUGUUUUGUAUGUGUUUCCUAGUUUAUAUUUGCGAUAAAUUUGCACUUUGCUCAUGUAGGACGGUGUUUUCAUCUUUUUAAUGCUAACCUAUCUAAUGUAAUAAAAUUUAAUUUUGUGAAUACGUCUAAGUAUAUCUCUCACGUGUUCUUUCGUGUAGCUCA
This is a long non-coding RNA of Cyprinus carpio carpio, 750 nucleotides long. The record is from Ensembl. NCBI's taxonomy places the organism in Eukaryota, Metazoa, Chordata, Actinopteri, Cypriniformes, Cyprinidae.